GGCUAGCAGACGAGUCCCAAAUAUGACGAAAUGCACAUCCUGGAU
This 45-nucleotide non-coding RNA is filed under the name Trichobilharzia regenti. The record is from RNAcentral. Lineage: Eukaryota; Metazoa; Platyhelminthes; Trematoda; Strigeidida; Schistosomatidae.